GUUAAUGCUUGUGAAAAGUAAUUUUAAGUGUAUUAAAUAGAGUAAAUUUAGUUGAAAAGUAGAUUAAUUUGUACUGUGAAGGAAAGUUGAAAUAAAAUGAAAAAGAUUUUUUUAGGAAGAAAGAUAUUGUACCUUUUGUAUCAGGGUUUAUUAAUAAAAUAAAUUGAAUUAUUUUUUCCCGAAAGUAUUAGAUUUAUUAUUAAAUUUAAUUUAGUGUUUUAAAAUUAUUUAAAAUUUAAUAAUGGGGAUGAAAAGUUAUUCGAUAAUACUGAUAUCUGGUUUUUUAAGAGUUAAAUUUAAUUUAGAAUUAAAAUUGUAAAUGGGAUAAUUAGUUUUAAUUUAUAGUUUUAAUUUUAAAAUAUAAGGGAUAAGCUUUAUAUUUAGAGUUAUAUUUAAAUGGUUUAAGGAAAGUUAUAGGCUUAGAAAUGGAAACUAAAUGGAGUAUGUUAUAAUAGAUGAAUUCUUGAUUUAAAUUAGAAUUAAAUUUUUAUUGAAAAGUGUGAUGUAACUUGGGCUUACAAUUAAAAUGGUGAAAUUAGUAAAGUGAAAUUUGUGAUGGAAAUAAAAUACGGAAAUUUAAUUUAAGGAAUUCGGCAAUCGUUUUAUUCGCCUGUUUAACAAAAACAUGGCUUUUAGGAAAAGUUAAAAGUCGGACCUGCCCACUGAUGAAUUGAAGGGCUGCAGUAUUUUGACUGUACAAAGGUAGCAUAAUCAUUAGUUUCUUAAUUGGGAACUGGAAUGAAUGGUUUGACGAAAUAAAAACUGUCUUCAAGUUGAGAAUUUGAAUUUUAUGUUUAAGUUAAAAAGCUUAAAUAAUGUUUAGGGACGAGAAGACCCUAUAGAUCUUUAUAUGAAGUUAAUUUAUUUUUUAUUGGGGGAUAUAAAAAUAAGUUAAUUAGUAUUUUGUUGGGGUGACAUGGGAAUAGAAAAACUUCUCAAUUGUUUUAACUUUGAUUUAAGGUUAAAGGAUCCUUUUUUAGGGAAGGAAGAUUAAGAUACCUUAGGGAUAACAGCGUUAUUUUAUUAGCAAGUUCAUAUUAAUAAUAAAGUUUGCGACCUCGAUGUUGGAUUAAGAUUAUAGGUUGGUGUAGAGAUUAGUCAAUUAAGUCUGUUCGACUUUUAAAAUCUUACAUGAUCUGAGUUCAGACCGGUGUGAGCCAGGUUGGUUUCUAUCUUAAAUAAGAAAUAAUAUUAUAGUACGAAAGGACCUAGUAUUAAAAAGAUUUUUUAGAUUGGGAAUAAA
RNAcentral lists this ribosomal RNA (1243 nucleotides) under Polionemobius taprobanensis. RNAcentral describes it as "16S ribosomal RNA". The stretch from base 819 to 1179 matches the Rfam family "Archaeal large subunit ribosomal RNA", at positions 2150 to 2716 of the family's 2987-position model. The record is from RNAcentral. Lineage: Eukaryota; Metazoa; Arthropoda; Insecta; Orthoptera; Trigonidiidae.